Molecule: transfer RNA, 74 nt
Filed under: Eunotia naegelii
Lineage: Eukaryota; Bacillariophyta; Bacillariophyceae; Eunotiales; Eunotiaceae
Description: tRNA-Cys
Rfam family: tRNA
About the family: Transfer RNA (tRNA) molecules are approximately 80 nucleotides in length. Their secondary structure includes four short double-helical elements and three loops (D, anti-codon, and T loops).
Source: RNAcentral
GGGCUAAAUAACAUAAAGGUAAUGUAUAAGAUUGCAAAUCUUAGUUAUAUUGGUUCAAGUCCGAUUUUAGCCUU